GUUUGGUUUCCGAGAAUUGGAAUUUCUCUCUCGCUUUUUUUAUACGUAUGUUAUCGAGGCCUUGGUGCCAUAUUUAAUUGUUAAUUGAAGUCUCGGACUCAGUUGAUUCUUCAUUUGCCAAACAUUUCUUCACCAACCGAGUCAGCUGUGUGAUGCAUAUUUAUUUUCUCACUUAAGUAUCUAAUACUACAUUAUUUUGCGGGGUUAUCGAGCAUCAUUG
RNAcentral lists this unclassified non-coding RNA (220 nucleotides) under Hevea brasiliensis (rubber tree). The record is from RNAcentral. Lineage: Eukaryota; Viridiplantae; Streptophyta; Magnoliopsida; Malpighiales; Euphorbiaceae.